CCUUGGAUUUGAUUGUGACGUUGAUCUACUUGCUUCUUUCAACUACACAACUUCUUGUCGCAGACUCUGAACUUCUUCUAUAGGCGUAGGCAUAGUAUCUCCAUGAUUCACGUUAGAAAUACGUGAGAUUUCUACUUUUAGAGUGUUGACAAGCUCAUUAAAAUCUGCUAUAGUUGCAAAUCUAUUCUCACUUCCAUUGAGAGUAGCAUCCAUAAUCUUUCCUUCCAUAGACAACUCAAACGAAUUCAAAAGUUAAAUUAGAGGGAGAUAAUCCACAACUUCUAAAAAUAAAUUCCAUAAAGCGGAGUAAUCCUCUCUCUUUAAGAAAAAGAUCAGUGUUAGAAAACAAAAUUUUUUGUUUAAAGGUGGAUAGUCCGCAACCUUCAAAA
This 389-nucleotide long non-coding RNA is filed under the name Physcomitrium patens. RNAcentral's name for it is "long non-coding RNA (PPAT_LNC004987)". The record is from RNAcentral. Lineage: Eukaryota; Viridiplantae; Streptophyta; Bryopsida; Funariales; Funariaceae.